Molecule: ribosomal RNA, 547 nt
Filed under: uncultured bacterium
Lineage: Bacteria
Description: bacterial SSU rRNA
Rfam family: Bacterial small subunit ribosomal RNA
Source: RNAcentral
UGGGGAAUAUUGCGCAAUGGGGGGAACCCUGACGCAGCCAUGCCGCGUGAAUGAAGAAGGCCUUAGGGUUGUAAAGUUCUUUCGGUAUUGAGGAAGGUUGAUGUGUUAAUAGCACAUCAAAUUGACGUUAAAUACUAAAGAAGCACCGGCUAACUCCGUGCCAGCAGCCGCGGUAAUACGGAGGGUGCGAGCGUUAAUCGGAAUAACUGGGCGUAAAGGGCACGCAGGCGGUUAUUUAAGUGAGGUGUGAAAGCCCUGGGCUUAACCUAGGAAUUGCAUUUCAGACUGGGUAACUAGAGUACUUUAGGGAGGGGUAGAAUUCCACGUGUAGCGGUGAAAUGCGUAGAGAUGUGGAGGAAUACCGAAGGCGAAGGCAGCCCCUUGGGAAUGUACUGACGCUCAUGUGCGAAAGCGUGGGGAGCAAACAGGAUUAGAUACCCUGGUAGUCCACGCUGUAAACGCUGUCGAUUUGGGGGGUGGGGUUUAACUCUGGCGCCCGUAGCUAACGUGAUAAAUCGACCGCCUGGGGAGUACGGCCGCAAGGUUA